CGGCGGCGGCUGGGGGCGGUGAGCGCGGCGUGGGGCUGCCCCUCCCCGGAGGCGGCGGGGGCGGCCGGGGCCGCGCCGCACCGCACCGCGCGGGCGGCCAUGGAGCGAGCCUAGGGCCCGGCAGAGUCUUCACAGCAUCUUCACCAGGAGUAGAAUCCACCUCAAGAAACCACUUCUUUGCUCGUCUGUUAGAAGCAGCUCCUCGUCCGUUCAAGUUCUGUCCUGAGAUUGCAGCGAUUCGGUCCCACCUGCAGGCUGCACUUCUAGUUCUGCUUCUCUUGCUGUUUCCACCGCGUCUGCAGUAUCCUCCAGUGAAGUCUUGAACCCUCAACAUCAUCCAUGAGGAUUGGAGUCACCUUCCAAACUCAUGUCACUAUUGAUAUUUUGACCUCUUCUCGAUGUGGUGACUAAUGACAAAUGUGGGAGCCUGCUCAGCCUCUUCUUUAAACUUGCCCUCACUACUAAUCUGCGGAGAUAAAUAGGGAAAUACAGUAACAGUUGAACUCUGCAGUUCGCUUAAUACAAAUUGGUGUCCUAGUUGAGAGGAUGAAUUGUUGCAGCUCUGAAUUGAUGUCUUCUUCAAAAGGUAUUGAAAUUUCAGAACUUAAAAGCACACAAACUCAGAUUGCAGAAUUGGACCGUUUUGUCUGAAUUUUGGAGUUGCUAGAACUUCCUAUUGCAUUGGUGAUUUUUAAAGAAACCCUCAAUAUCCCUAAUCUUUAUGCUAAAUGUUUAGAUAUGAUAUGUUUAUAUAGCAUGAGGC
RNAcentral lists this long non-coding RNA (763 nucleotides) under Equus caballus (horse). RNAcentral's name for it is "lncRNA (ENSECAG00000048687.1)". Lineage: Eukaryota; Metazoa; Chordata; Mammalia; Perissodactyla; Equidae. The record is from RNAcentral.